UUAACUCGAAAUUGUAUGCAGUUGGAACAGCGCCCCUGGCGACAAACGUAGCCAAACGUUCCAGCUCCAUACAAAUUCGAGUUA
Molecule: microRNA precursor, 84 nt
Filed under: Bombyx mori (domestic silkworm)
Lineage: Eukaryota; Metazoa; Arthropoda; Insecta; Lepidoptera; Bombycidae
Description: mir-2807 microRNA precursor family
Rfam family: mir-2807 microRNA precursor family
Source: Rfam by way of RNAcentral